CUGGAAUAGAGAUCAGAACAGAAAUCUAAAUCAACCUCAACCAGCCAAGGUCUAAAAUCACAACCUAAGUCUAUACAACCAGACCAUAAGAAAAGGGCAUCGCUGAGAUCCCUCACUCCAGCUGCAACAUUCUGGUUGUAUUGCAAUUCAUACAUCACUUACCCAAGAGCCUGACACAAAGCAUGCCCUCAAGAUGGGUAGAGGACCACAGAGAUGGAAGCCAAGGUGUUCACCUGGGGGUGAUAAAUGGUCAACUGGUACAAAAGAGCUGGCCAGGACCUCGGGAGGAAGACUCCCCUGUGAAAGGGC
Molecule: long non-coding RNA, 309 nt
Organism: Globicephala melas (long-finned pilot whale)
Lineage: Eukaryota; Metazoa; Chordata; Mammalia; Artiodactyla; Delphinidae
Source: RefSeq, a predicted model, not a curated record